CCGACCCGUCCAGAACUUGCCUACCAGUCGUAUCAUGCCGCGUGUCCGUCGGGCAUAAAAAAUCCGCGUGGUCUCCUGCACGAAACCGACGAGGCUUUGAAACAACCGACUUUGUCGCACUAAAUAGCGUUCAACGCCUGAGCAAAUCAGUUCUCUUCUAUUCUUGAUCGUUGUUAGGGUUUCGUUUGAUUUUGUGCGAUUGGCUGUAUGAUUAAUUUUGAGAAAUUUAGCGAUUUUAUUUGGAUUUGGAUAUCGUCUAAUCGGAAGUUUAUGCUUUGUUUGGUUUCGGAAAGAAUCAGAUGCGGAGUAAAUCGAGUUUGUUCGAUCGGUCAAUCUGAGGCGAAUUUAGUGCGUUCUUGAUGUGAUUUUGCUUCUUUGGAUUCGUCCUUUUGUGGUCUUUAUUGAGAAUUUGGUACAAUUCCCGGUCGAUCGGUCAAUCUGAGAUGAAUUUAAUGGGUUCUUGAUGUAGUUUUGCCUCUUUGGAUUCGUUCUUCUGUGGCCUUUAUUGAGAAUUUGGUACAAUUCCCGGUCGAUCGGUCAAUCUGAGAUGAAUUUAAUGGGUUCUUGAUGUAGUUUUGCCUCUUUGGAUUCGUUCUUCUGUGGCCUUUAUUGAGAAUUUGGUACAAUUCCCGGUCGAUCGGUCAAUCUGAGAUGAAUUUAAUGGGUUCUUGAUGUAGUUUUGCCUCUUUGGAUUCGUACUUCUGUGGUCUUUAUUGAGAAUUUGGUAUAAUUCCUGGUCGAUCGGUGUUCUUGAUACUGCGAAUUGAUAAUUCUUUUGUUAGCGUUUGCUUUGAGGUUUCUUUCAGUUUUCUUGGAUGCGAGCUUUGUUGGUUGUUUUCAGAAGGUAUGUGAUGCAGAGUGAUUCUGGUUUGGUAGAUGAUUUGUUGAUUCUUGCCUAGCUGAAGCUGAAUUCAAUGGAUCGAUGCUUUUGGUACUAGUUUUGAAUAUUUGGAUAGGCCUGCUCUUUGUCGCUUUACAUGAGAAUUUCGAUCAGCACCCUUUGAUACUGCAAUUUGAGAUGCAGCAAAUUAGUAAUUCACAAGGAAUGAGUCAUAUUUUAUGUUUGUUAUUAUAGGCUAUUAUUAUGCUACAUCAGAUCCGGAGAAUUGAGGCAAAUCGUAGCUGAUUCGUUGUGCUAUUCUGUUUGUUUGAUCUCUCUUUCCUUCAGAAUCUGUCGGUUGAGUGGUGCCUGCUUCUCUAUUAUGUUUUCUUUGUGUUGUAUAACUUGUAUUCAUCGCUUCGUAUUACAUAUUUGGUGUGGACCUAAUUGUUGGAAUUAGGCUUUAUGUUCAUGAUUUCGUUUCUGUUAACUUGAUUCUUCAUGGUCUUUUAUUAUCUCUGCUUUGGGUAUGACAAAUUCAGAUUGGGUUUUUGUUGGUUGUUUGUUAUAUUGUAGGUAGAUCAUAGGUCUGUGUGUUUGUUCUCCUUAUAUGUUGAUUUUUUUUUCUUUUUUUGGUGUGAUAUGCUUUACCUUUUGUUUGUUACUUAUGAUGUUACAUUACUGAUGCUUCAAAGUGUUUUGUGCUCAUUUUUUGUUGUUUUACUUAUUUAUUUUUGGUGAUUGGUUUAUCUAUGUUCUAGUCUAUGCUUUAGCAUUGUACCUCACGAGCUCAGCUUGCAUAAGGUGACAGGAGUUGCAGGUUUUGUUUCCAAUGUGUAGAUGUGUUAUCAUUUUAUGUCACUAUAUUUGAUGUUGCAAAAUCGCACCCUUAGGUUGCAUGUGGCAAAAACUGCACGAUAAAGCUCUUAUUAGUGUUUAUUAUUGUUUUUGUGGGUUCAUGCUUACUUUUAACUAAUAAAAAAAUUACGAGCGAUAUCUGGAUGCUUCUCUGAAGUUCAGGUACCAGAAUUUAGUUGCAUGGGAAGUCACUCUAUUUGUAUCUGAGGUAUUUAUUUAUUUAUUUUUGACUGUGUACCUAUUCUAAUAUUCACAGAAACAUUAGGCUGGUUGACAGCAUCACCUUUUUACUGGAUUGGGGAUGUCUGUUAUAAUGUUGGUACUGCCUUCAUAAUCUCGUUGUGUUCAUUAUUUCGUUCAACUAAACAUCUUUUUUGACUUUUGAGCACUUGAAGAGUUGAAAGAAUCUGGCAGCCCUUAUGGUUGGGGUUGUCUUUCUUGGGUUGAGAUCUGAAGUCAAUCGACAGCUCUAUUAAAUCAAAAUUGUAAGUCAACAUUUGUUAUUUUCUGGAGAAGCAAAUAUUUGACGCACCAUACAGGUAUAACAGAAACACUGGUAUUCAGAUUACUGUGAUCAUUGGCUUCUCUUUCAAGGUAAGUACUUCUUUUUCAAGGUAAGUUGUCUAGCGGCUUUGGAUAUCUAUCCAACCGCUAAUGAUUUUUCUGUGCUAGGGAGCUUUUGGUCACACUGUGACUAUCAUCUACUUGCCUUUCAAGAGUUUGUGUAGUUCCAACUUUAUGCUGAACAGCUAAUUGAGAGUGGAUUUUCAAGCCUUCUAUAGACUUUGUGCUAUCAAGCAAUGUUUCUUUAUUUGCAAUCUCAAGUUGUCUCAGAUCAAGUUAUAAUUAUUAGGCACCUGAUUUGUUUGACCAAUAUUUGUUAUUAUCUGGAGGAAUGAUUGGCAUCUGCCAGCUCUUGCAAUGACCGCAGCAUAGAGAUAUGGCGAUAGUCCUUUUAUUAUCAUUCAAAAUUUUGUGAUCAUUGGCUUUCUUUUAAGAAGUUAUUUAUGCGGUGGCUCUGGAUAUUUAUACAAGCUGCUAAUGAUUUGUCUACUCUGGGGAGCUUCUUAAAGCCCAAUGAUCUAUCUUCUAUUUCAUUCUUAAGAGCUUCAUUGUGUAGUAGUUUUUAUUCUGACUCAUGUUUGUUGGAGCUUACAAUUAAGGGGUAGAUUUAAUAUUCCACGGUCAUAUCAUCUAAAUAGAUGGUUGGAGUUGCAUCAUCAGUAAAAGGGGGGGUGCUCAAAUCAUCAAUAAAGAGGAGUGCUCAAGCAUAAUUGUAAUAGUAUCAUGGAGGACUUUAAUAUUUUGGUGAUAUUAUUUUCUAAUUGUAUUGUAUCCAGUUCAGGUGGUUGUGUCAUGCUUCGUUUCUUUUAUUGGUCUUUAGCAUAAUUGUAAUAGUAUCAUGGAGAAUUUUAAUAUUUUGGUGAUAUUAUUUUUUGACAGUACUGUAUCCAGUUUAGGUUGUUGUGUCAUGCGUCGUUUCUUUUAUUGGUCUUUGAGAUCUUAUCAAUAGUCGGUCUCAUUUAUUGAGCAGCUACUAUUUUUGUGUGACAUUCAUCUUUUCUAUGCAACAGAGAUCAGGCCAUUUAUAGGCCCGUGCAAAGUACAGAAAGGAGAAUUGGAUGUAGAUAAGGGAUCCUCAAAACUGUCCAUUUUGGUCUUUUGUGCCUUCAUGUUUUAUAUAUAUAUAUAGAUUGAGAGAGUACAACUUGUGCUUUCCAAAGUAUGGAGACCUUUGUGCUUUCAAGUUGUUUUCAGCCGUUCAUUUUGAGACUAUUUGUUCACUAGGCAAAUAAAGUAAAAAAAAAUUGCAAAAUUUGAUUUCUAGAUAGUUUCAAUGAUGUAACUUAUGUCUAACGGAAUUGAUCGUCGAAUUCAGAUGUUUCGUCAUAAAAGAUAACUUGAAAGUACGAAGGCAUCCGUGCUUUCGGAAGUAUACAAGCCUAUUUCUAUAUACAUAUAAAAUGUUUCUGUGCUUGUCUUGAAGGUUAUUUACCUGGGUAGAAAUCAUUUAAUUUAGGUUGCCCAUUGCCAUAUUUUGGAUGGGUGCUUUGUUCAUAAUUGCUUAGGAAGGUCAACAUCCUUUUCUUCGAUUACUGAGCAUAAAAAAAUUAGAGUUAUGUAAGGGAUAUGUGAAAACUGUCGGUUCCUCCUAUUGCCGCACUUGGAUUAUUGACGUUAUCUUUCUCAACUUGCACUAAAAGAUCAUUUAUCAUGGUUGCCCAUUACAAUCCUUCUCCAUGGGGACUUUGUGCCUCAAGGACGUCGUCCUUUUCUUCUUGUUCUUGAGUUUUACUUAUUGCUCUUACAUUAUUCUCUGCAUUCUUGGCCGGCUUGUCUUGAUGAACAUUCUAUCCAAGUUGCUUAUCACAUUUACAGUACGGCAUCACAAAUAUUCUUUUUCUCUCUUCACAGGAAGUUGUCUGAUUAUUUAGUUUUUUAUUCUGAAAUCUUUAGAUUUCUAUGUUACUACUAGUUUAUUAGGAUGUGGAAUGGAACUUACUUAUAAUUGUGAGCCUAAGGUGGUAGGUUGAGUUGCAUUGGUUAUUGCUGCAACAUUUUUCGUUAGUUUGAUCAUCGAAGGGAUGUACAAAUUGGUUGUAAAAUUAUUCUUGCCUUGUAAGUAGCAAUUGCUGGUUGGCUUUCCAUUUUUUUCACUUAAAAAGUAGGAGUAAAAGAAAUUGUAAGAUGGAACUCUAAUUCUCCUUGAUUAUUAUGACAAUAUGUACUGGGUGGAACUCUAUACGAGUUAUAGAUAGCUUUGAUAAUAAUUCACUUUUUAUGCUUUUUUUUUUUUUCACUAGUCUGCUCUUUUGAGAUCAUUUUAUAAGGGAUUGAGGUUGCUCUUUUAGAAUGUUUAUCUAUGGAGAUGAUCAAUGCCAUUAUAGUUAAUGCUAUGUCUCUUUUUUGUUUCAGUAUUUAUUCUGAGCUGCUAUUUUGGUUUAAGGGAUUGUGGAUUUAUAAGAAUCCUGUUGUCACUUGCACAUUUCUUUGAUUGAUUUUCAAAGUUAAUGAACAGUCUGGUAAGGUAAGUUUUGAGAACAUUUUGAGGUGAUCUACUGCACUACUUGUAACGACCCGACCCGCUAGCAAUAAUAACUCGUUGGGCCUAAACCACUGGCCCAAAAUGCUUAAGCCCAGUUAUUUUUACUAGGAUGGAGUCCUUUUAUAAACCCAAUGAUAACGACCCAACUAACGAGUUAUUAUUGCUAGUGGAUCGGGUCAUUAUAUUUGGUAUCAGAGCCGGUUCACCAGUCGAAAGUUUAAGAUGAGUCUUGGUUGAGCCAAGGUCGGAAUGACAGACAAAGCCAGGAUCGGUGAAUGACAAGCUAAGUCAGUAUCGGAAUGAUAAGGCUAGCGAGACAAUUCUUACAUCGCCUGGUGAUCUUGUGCUGUGUGUGUUUAGGAUUGACGAGGACGUCAGGGCCUAAAUGGGAGGAGUAUGGGACACCCCAAUAGACCCAUAUUAGAUAUGAAUGGGAUUGUCAUUGGGUAUAUAAGAGGAUUUCAUUCUAGUAAAAAUAACUGGGCUUAAGUAUUUUGGGCCAGUGGUUUGGGCCCAACGAGUUAUUAUUGCUAGCGAGUCGGGUCGUUAAACCACUCUUCCUUCAUUUGUUUCUUUCUUUUCCCAACAACAUGCACAAGAAAAGCAGUUGGAAGAGAAUAUGAAGCCCCCUCUAUCCUAAUUUUCUUUCAAAAAAAGAAACCCUUAUCAACUCUUAUCCCUUUUUUCUUCUCUCCUUUACCUCUUUUUACUUCCUCUCAUUGCUCCUUUUUUCUUCACCUUUCAAAUAGCCUUCAUUCUAUCCCCCAUUUAUAGAUUGACCGAGAGACCGAGAACCUGACCUCCCAGCAAUAUAUAAAGCUGAGCUACAAUUCUUAAAUAGCUAAGGCGAUUGACACCCAGUGAAAACAAGACAUUUCCAAGAAAGUUGGAAAAAAAGUUUUCCGUGAAAACUACUUUAUGGGAAUCAAAUGGACUAAAAAUACAUAUGUAACAUCUCCACCUAAAAAUAUUAUUUUAUGAGAUACUUCUUGGUCACCCAAACACCGCUAAACUGUUGAUUUUUGCCCCUUGAAAUGCCACAGAGAUGACCUCUUUCAUUUCUAUCUUUGUUUCACCGUACAGCACCAUAGAAUCUCCAAAAAUAUCUUUACAAACAUAAUAUAAAAUGCUAACAGAGUUAAUUCCUCGGACAAAAAAGGCAAAUUGCACGUAGGACCUUGGGGCUUUGUUUUAAGGGCUAUUUUUUUCACAUUUAAGUAAGUCCUUACCUUUAAUUUUUAUUUGCCUGCGGUCAGAUCUUUCUAUCAAUGACGCUAUUAUGUGUUAGCUCUUUGUUUAUUUUAUUUAAGUUGGUUCUCACAAUUUAAAUUGUCACAUUGUUGCCUUCAAUAUUUUCAACCUGCUGUUAGAUCUUUCUAUCAGUGACAAGUAAUAUGUGUUAGCGCUUAGGCUUCAGGGCUUUGUUUCAUAUAUAAGUUUAAGUCUAGGCCUCCAGUCUUUGUUUUCAUGUUUAAGGUAACCCUCAUUAUUUAAAUUAUUACGUUGUUUACCUUAAAUUUUUAUUUUCUUGCGGUUAUAUUGAAAGAAAAAAAUAGUUUCGUGUGCAAUGGCUUGCAGUCAUUUAUCUUUUCCCCUCUAAGCAAAAGCAAAAUAUACCUAAGCAAAAUCAUCAUUAGAUUGAUAAUAAUUUAUAGGUUGCAAUUAUAUGCGUGAGAAAUCACUUUGUAUGGAAGAUUUUACAAUAUUUGAACUUAUGGAAGUAAAUGGAAAGAUUGAAUUGCAAUUUCUUAUGUUAUGAAUUGCCUUGAUGCUAUGGAUUUGAGUGUAAAGCCUACAUCGCCACCUAUAAUUUACCCGGACCAACAAAAAGAAGAACAAACAUUAUAAAACUUAUAGUAAGCAUCAGAAACAAUGCUGUUUCUUGCACAAUACGAGCUAUAGCUGACAAACAGGUUGCUGAGUAAACAACCUUGUGUUCUCUGAUUGAAUAAGGAGAUGUUCUGGCAGAGCUAAAAAGCUAGAGACUUCUUUGAAGAAGCAAGCUUAGGACAGUAUAUUCUUAUCAUCAAUAUGCGUCUUCUUGCUUGAGAUAAGUCCACUUUCCAUUGAUGUUCCACCAGAAAUAAAAACCUCAUCCCUGUUUCAGCAGCAAUCAGUUUUUGUCUACUAGGCUCCAGUUCCCUCUGAUGCUGACCAGUUCUAGCGAUAAAAUAACAAAAAAUUAAUGAUAAUAUGGAAAUAACCCUCAAAUUAUGAUUUUGAGAUCUCAAACUAUAAUUUUUUUUUUAUUGCUCCUGAUUGUCCUAGCAAUUUUUUAUUUUUCUUUAUUUAUAUGUUAUUAAUUCUGUUAAUAUUUUUUUGCCAUUUUAUCUGUUUAUCCUGCUAACAGUUUAACAUUUUAUUUCUCACUUUAAUUUUAUUCUGUUUAGUCCGGUAGCUCUAGUUUUAUGCUGCUAACUAUGAUAACAUUUUAUUUUCUGCUUUAUUUUAUUCUGCUAACUUUUUUCACUUUUUAUUUCCACUUUUUUUUUAAAAAAAAAUUAGCUAACUUUGAUAAUGUUAUCAGAGCUUAAACAGAGAUGGUCUAAUUAGGAAAGGCAUAAUUAAGUGGAUACUUAAUAGGGUAUCUGUGGAGCAUCAAACCCCAAUUUGAUUCUAUAAUUUUGGGGAAUUGACUGUCCCUUUUUGGAGUAUUAUCCAUUGGCUUCUCCACCAUAGGAUUUGCAAGGAGCUUAAACUAUUUUUCUUCAUUUUUCUUUCUGAAAACAUCGUUGUCCUUCUCAUUGUUGUUCAGGAUGUAAAGUGGCCACCAAGUCAAACUUAAAUUGUGGACUUGACAUUAUGGCCUCCUUUCGGAUUGCGAUACCAAAAGCACUUCUUUUCAUGUACAAAAGAUUAGAAAGCUUUUUUAAUCUUUCUUUCUAAGUUAUAAAAUAGUGGCCGUUCCUCCUAUGAUUUGUAGCAUUGGAGGAAGAGGUUGUUCCUCCCAUGAUUUGUAGCAUUGGAGGAGGGGAAUUUGACAGCACUUCCAGUUUCUUUUUUAGCCUUACAAAGCAUAGAAGUGGUUACUUUAGGCAAUGCAAUCCCAACGUAGACAUGCAUGACUUAAAUGAGCUACAGAUAUAGGUUUGGGAUGAGAUUUGGCCCAUAAAACUUAGCAGUAUAAUUUCAGUUUGGAGCUCAGCUUUGACGCUUCUACAGUGUUUGAAAAGGCACGCCUGAGGCGCGCGCCUCAGCGCCUAGGCACGAGGCGCGGGCCUUCGCUUCUCAGCAAUAGCGAGGCGAGGCGCUAUUGCUGAGGCGCGCGCCUAGGCCCUGAGGCGCGCGCCUCAGGCAAGGUGCGAGGCGCACAUAAGGCGCGCGCCUCGGCAUAUUUAAUAUUUUUUGAAUUUUGGAUUAAAGUUUUCGGGUUAUUGGGUUUCGGAUAUAAAUUUUAUGUUUUAGCCUGAUAAGAUUAGUAAAGGAAUCUAAAAGAAACCUAAAAAAACCCUUAUGAAAUCCAUCUACCGCCCUCUCCUCCUACCACUCUCUCUUUUUACCGUCCUCUUCUCCUUCUUGAGGCCAAAUGAAAACAUUGGCACCACAAUCACUUUUAAGUUGAAAGUCGAAAUAUAUAUAUUUUUUACUUGAGAACCUAUAUGCAUGUGUUUUCUUUACUUUUUUAUAGUUAUUUUAGUUUUGUAUAGUUAUUUUGGAGUUUUUUUAAUGUAGAAUAUCUAAUUAAAUUACAGUGUGCCUCGCCUUCUUGAGGCGCGCGCCUCGCAGUGCGCCUCGCGCCUAGACUCCUGGAGAGUCUUGCGCCUUUUUGCGCUUCGCGCCUUUUCAAACACUGCGCUUCUAUGAAUAUGGCCUUUUAUGUAUAUGCUGUUAGUGUGCAACCAGAUAUACACACAAAACAAGCUCAGUUUUGCAUAUCUUCUAAUUAUUUUUCUUCCACUUAAUCUUUCUCUAUUCAAUUUCAAUUUCAUUUUGGGCACAGAAUUCAUUGGGUCACAUUACUUCUAAGGUGGUCUUGCGUACUGUGGUGAUGCUUGAUCGGGUUUGGGGUCUAGGCUUGUCCGUUAAUCUCAAUUUCCUGUUAUUUGUACUUUCUUCAUCACAAAAGUUUUCCGGUCCUAUAUAUAUAUAUAUAUAUAUAUAUAUAUAUAUAUAUAUAUUCUUGAGCAUGCAACCAGAUAUACACACAAAAUAAGCUCGGUUUUGUAUAUCUUCUAAUUAUUUUUUCUUCCACUUAAUCUUUCUCUAAUCAAUUUUAAUUUUAUUUUAGCCACGGAGUUUAAUGGGUCAUAUUAUUUCUGAGUUGUUCUUGCCUAUGGGCAGAUGCUUGAUCUGAGUUGGGGAUGCGCGCUCAUCCAUGCUUGUCAGUUAAUCUCUGUUUCCUGUCAUUUUUACUUCAUCACAAUAGUUAUCUGAAGUGCUUAAUUAUUUACUUAAGUUUAACUAAGAUACCUUUUCCCCAACCUAAUAAUACCAAGAAGGGCUGCCUCAGUUGCUUUGGCGAUACCAACUAGCUGUUUCUCCUUUUACUAGUUUGAUCAUGUAGUAUUUAUUAUUUUUAUUAUUAUUAUUAUUAAUAUUGACAAUAUUUAAACAUUGUUUUCUACUAGCUUAAGCUUUUAGAAAAUAAUGGUUGUUUCAUAUAAUUUAACAUGGUAUUAGAGUAGGAGGUUCUGAGUUCCGAGUCUUGCCGGGCUCUUUGCAUUAUUAAUUUUCUCCCAUUUAAUUCACGUCCGCGUCAUGGGUCUUGCGAAAAGUGCUGAGCCAGAUGUGAGGGGGAGUAUUAAAUAUAAAAAUAUUUAAACACCGUUCUCUAUCAGUUUAAGUUUUUAGAGUACAGUGGUUGUUUCAUAUAAUUUAACAACAAUUUUCUACCAUGGCUUACUAAAUGCUUGGGAUGGUCUAUUACUGGCAGAGCUGGCUGCGUGGGUUGGGGAGUAUUUGCUAGGCUUACAUUUAAGUCCUAAUUAAUUAUGUUUUUAUUAUUGUCAGUUUGUACUUUGUGGUGUCCUUUUCCAUAGUGGAUUGAUUGCAAAGUUCAAGUUUUAAAUUUCAUAUGGCAUGUGAAGACAUUUCAUGUAAGGUCAACCUUCUUUCUAUUCCUUAAUUUUGUGAUGAGGUUCCUUCUCUACGUUGACAAAUUCUUUGAUUGUGUCUCUAUUUGAAUUUGGUAUUCUCUUUUUAUCGUAUUUUUAUUUUGGUGUCUGUAUUAAUUCUCCUUUGGUGGUUUUGGAAUUUAUUCUGAAUGGCUGUUGACUGUGAUGAAUCACUAAAAGCCUCUUGCAGUCUUUGUGGUCAAAAGUUUUGAGGACUAAAGUUGAUUCACAGCCUUUACAGUUGUCUGCUGGACUGAUGAAUUGAUAUGUUUAACCUUUUGUAUCAGCUGACGCUGACCAGAAGAUGCAGUUUUCUAUUAUAUAGUACUUGGUGUGAAUGAAUUCAUUUGGAGCAUGGUCUUGGAGGUCAUUCCUUCGGCAGAACUUGAUAUUUAUUUGAGCUGCUUACAUUGCUGUGUUUGAGGAUUUUUUUGUAAUCUUUGUUGCUGCUGGGGUGACAAUGCUCUCCACAGCCUUUACAGUUGUUCACUGGACUGAUGAAUUGAUAUGUUUAACCUCUUGUAUCGGCAGAUGCUGACCAAAAGAUGCCGUUUUCUAUUAUAUAGUACUUGGUGUGAAUGAAUUCACUUGGAGCAUGUUCUUGGAGGUCUUUCCUUCGGCGGAACUUGAUAUUUAUUUAAGCUGCUUACGUUGCUGUGCUUGGGGAUUUUAUCUGUAAUCUUUGUUGCUACUGGGUGACAAUGCUCUCCACAACUUGUAUUCUUCCUUUUCUUUCUCAAAAGCUGCUUUUUAUCUGCUCUGAUUUGAUUUCUUAAUGGUUCUAGGUGAACCAAAUUGUGUUCAUGUGAUUUGCCUUUUGGUUUAGCAAUGUCUGGUGUGAAUUAUUUGAUCUUAGGACAAUAAAAUAUGGUUUAACUGAAGGGCGAUGCUCGGCUAUAUGUGCGAUAUCACCUCAAACUGUAUUGUGUAGUGGAGGAUUAAUCUUAUCUAUAAUGGUGGUAUCAGCUUGCAAGGAUUAAAUAUUGAGGCGUAGGGGUGCGCUUGGGACAUGGUCGUCAUGAUAUGGAUCGGGCACGCUGCCGUGCCAAGUACGGAUACCCAACAACCAUGCUUUGGAGGUCUUAUUUUGCUGUUAUGCGGAGUUGUGAUAAUAAUGCAUGAUUUUUGGAUCUUUUCUUAUUAUAUUGUAGUUAUUACUGGGAUUGAUUAUGGACGUUAAAUCAUCUUGCAGCUUUAUGGCCUCGGUGUGUAUCUGUGAUUUGCAUUUAACGUUGGUCUAAAUUAUUGGUGUCUAGGCAGACCUGCAUUUCUUCUAUCCACUGGUGUUGACAGAAUUCAUAUAUACUAGCUUUUCCAAAAUCUGCAUAUAAGUAUGUGUUUGACAAUGAAUGCAACAUUCUUUUGGUAGUUGAUCAUUCCAUCGGUUAUAACUUCUUUGACUUGGCGUUCUUGAUUGGCUUGUUCUUGGAGCUUCUUUGUCUAGUGGAGUUGGGAAUUUUUGUUUUAUUUUACUUUUUUAUUUUUUAAGCUGUUGGCGAUGCUUUUGAGCUUUGGUACUGUUUCAAUCACCUUUUGAAAUAAAUUUUAGCUAUGUUAUUUGCAA
Molecule: long non-coding RNA, 11342 nt
Organism: Ananas comosus (pineapple)
Lineage: Eukaryota; Viridiplantae; Streptophyta; Magnoliopsida; Poales; Bromeliaceae
Exons: 2
Source: RefSeq, a predicted model, not a curated record